CUACGGGUUGCUGCAGUGAGGAAUAUUGCACAAUGGGGGGAACCCUGAUGCAGCAACGCCGCGUGGAGGAUGACGCAUUUCGGUGUGUAAACUCCUUUUAUAUGUCAAGAAAAUGACGGUAGCAUAUGAAUAAGCACCGGCUAACUCCGUGCCAGCAGCCGCGGUAAUACGGAGGGUGCAAGCGUUACUCGGAAUCACUGGGCGUAAAGGACGCGUAGGCGGGUUGGAAAGUCAGGUGUGAAAUCCUACAGCCUAACUGUGGAACUGCACUUGAAACUUCUAAUCUAGAGUAUGGGAGGGGGAGAUGGAAUUAGUGGUGUAGAGGUAAAAUCCGUAGAUAUCACUAGGAAUACCUAAAGCGAAGGCGAUCUCCUGGAACAUUACUGACGCUAAGGCGUGAAAGCGUGGGGAGCAAACAGGAUUAGAUACCCGAGUAGUC
Molecule: ribosomal RNA, 439 nt
Filed under: uncultured bacterium
Lineage: Bacteria
Description: partial 16S ribosomal RNA
Rfam family: Bacterial small subunit ribosomal RNA
Source: RNAcentral